RNAcentral lists this ribosomal RNA (496 nucleotides) under uncultured bacterium. Its description in RNAcentral is "partial 16S ribosomal RNA". It matches the Rfam family "Bacterial small subunit ribosomal RNA", at positions 28 to 507 of the family's 1533-position model. The record is from RNAcentral.
GAUGAACGCUGGCGGCGUGCCUAAUACAUGCAAGUCGAGCGAACAGACGAGGAGCUUGCUCCUCUGACGUUAGCGGCGGACGGGUGAGUAACACGUGGAUAACCUACCUAUAAGACUGGGAUAACUUCGGGAAACCGGAGCUAAUACCGGAUAAUAUAUUGAACCGCAUGGUUCAAUAGUGAAAGACGGUUUUGCUGUCACUUAUAGAUGGAUCCGCGCCGCAUUAGCUAGUUGGUAAGGUAACGGCUUACCAAGGCAACGAUGCGUAGCCGACCUGAGAGGGUGAUCGGCCACACUGGAACUGAGACACGGUCCAGACGCCUACGGGAGGCAGCAGUAGGGAAUCUUCCGCAAUGGGCGAAAGCCUGACGGAGCAACGCCGCGUGAGUGAUGAAGGUCUUCGGAUCGUAAAACUCUGUUAUUAGGGAGAACAAAUGUGUAAGUAACUAUGCACGUCUUGACGGUACCUAAUCAGAAAGCCACGGCUAACUACGUG